Molecule: ribosomal RNA, 1042 nt
Filed under: Staphylococcus aureus
Lineage: Bacteria; Bacillati; Bacillota; Bacilli; Caryophanales; Staphylococcaceae
Description: partial 23S ribosomal RNA
Rfam family: Bacterial large subunit ribosomal RNA
Source: RNAcentral
GAAGAGCCCAAACCAACAAGCUUGCUUGUUGGGGUUGUAGGACACUCUAUACGGAGUUACAAAGGACGACAUUAGACGAAUCAUCUGGAAAGAUGAAUCAAAGAAGGUAAUAAUCCUGUAGUCGAAAAUGUUGUCUCUCUUGAGUGGAUCCUGAGUACGACGGAGCACGUGAAAUUCCGUCGGAAUCUGGGAGGACCAUCUCCUAAGGCUAAAUACUCUCUAGUGACCGAUAGUGAACCAGUACCGUGAGGGAAAGGUGAAAAGCACCCCGGAAGGGGAGUGAAAUAGAACCUGAAACCGUGUGCUUACAAGUAGUCAGAGCCCGUUAAUGGGUGAUGGCGUGCCUUUUGUAGAAUGAACCGGCGAGUUACGAUUUGAUGCAAGGUUAAGCAGUAAAUGUGGAGCCGUAGCGAAAGCGAGUCUGAAUAGGGCGUUUAGUAUUUGGUCGUAGACCCGAAACCAGGUGAUCUACCCUUGGUCAGGUUGAAGUUCAGGUAACACUGAAUGGAGGACCGAACCGACUUACGUUGAAAAGUGAGCGGAUGAACUGAGGGUAGCGGAGAAAUUCCAAUCGAACCUGGAGAUAGCUGGUUCUCUCCGAAAUAGCUUUAGGGCUAGCCUCAAGUGAUGAUUAUUGGAGGUAGAGCACUGUUUGGACGAGGGGCCCCUCUCGGGUUACCGAAUUCAGACAAACUCCGAAUGCCAAUUAAUUUAACUUGGGAGUCAGAACAUGGGUGAUAAGGUCCGUGUUCGAAAGGGAAACAGCCCAGACCACCAGCUAAGGUCCCAAAAUAUAUGUUAAGUGGAAAAGGAUGUGGCGUUGCCCAGACAACUAGGAUGUUGGCUUAGAAGCAGCCAUCAUUUAAAGAGUGCGUAAUAGCUCACUAGUCGAGUGACACUGCGCCGAAAAUGUACCGGGGCUAAACAUAUUACCGAAGCUGUGGAUUGUCCUUUGGACAAUGGUAGGAGAGCGUUCUAAGGGCGUUGAAGCAUGAUCGUAAGGACAUGUGGAGCGCUUAGAAGUGAGAAUGCCGGUGUGAGU